Molecule: ribosomal RNA, 8544 nt
Filed under: Triticum aestivum (bread wheat)
Lineage: Eukaryota; Viridiplantae; Streptophyta; Magnoliopsida; Poales; Poaceae
Description: partial small subunit ribosomal RNA
Source: RNAcentral
CCGAUGCAAAUGUAACCGCUCGCCCGAAGUAGUGAAGCAGUAGAACGCUGAAGCAUGCGUGAGCGAGACGAUCAAUAACACAGUCCACGCAUGGAUGUUAAAGAAAAGAUAAAGUGGAGCCUAAUUAAUAACACGGAUACAGGUACCCUAUAAACGAAAUUGAACGAGGUGGGAAUAAAGUAGCAAAUCAAAAAAAAGGAAAAAAAAGAACGUAGAAACAAUCAUGGUGCCACGAGUCCAGAUGAAAUAAUCAUCACACCAAACGGGAAGCACUAGUAGUUGAACCCAGAUGAGUAAGUAGCUUUUUUAUUUUGAACCCGCGUACGCCGCCGUCUCGGGUACGGGAGCAGCUACGUGUGCGGCGAGUUCCGUAUCGAAAAGACGAUCGGUGUGGGAGGGAGUGGUGGUGAAGAUCGGCCCGACGCGUCGCAACUACAUCGUAACCAGGAUGCUUCGAACCUACAGAACUGCUUGAUCGCCGGAUCAGCCCCAUUCUGGUCGCGUGUGAGGGUUGCUGUACCAACAAAAGCCGAACAACUACUAGUGGCGUACAACCCAGUAACAAUCCACUAGGGUCAGCUAAAUCGUUCGAACUGGACGUAGAUAACCGUACGUUUGUGUAUAAAAGGACCAGUCUCCUCGAGACCGAUAUAAUACGUGAUCUCGAUACCGAUAAUGAGUACAACCAUGUUAACUGCGCCGUAUACACAACAAUGAACCAACUUCAACAAACAAGUCUCGAGACGAACAUUCUAAUUAGGGUUCAUACUGUAAAAGCACCUUGACCGUUGUGGGUUCAUACUCAACACUAGGGAAGUACUUCAAAAAAAAAAUCAAAACGCGACAAAAGAUGAGGGAGACAAAGAUUUAUAUUCAGAACAAACUCUAAAGUUACACCUGAUGUAUGCUUACAUAUAUCUGAAUAAAAUCUCACAUCUAAGAGAGUAAAACGAGGUAGACAUCAGGUAUAACCCUAAGAGAGUAAAAUCUGAAUAUAAAAUCUUACAUAUAUCUGAACAAACCCUAGAGGUAUAACUCAACACAUCAUGACACACCAAAACGUUCACCCCUAGAGGUCAAUACCCAGACACAAUCUAGUAUACCACCUAUCGGAAACAUUUCGUACAGAUUUCAUCUAAUAUAACGAGAUAAAGAAAACCUAGACACAAUCUGAUGUAUUACAGCGGCUGGACAGAAGACCACGCCGUGGAGGAAAAAGAGGGGGAGAGGUAAUUCGUACGUACGUUGGUUUUCUAUGAUUUCCGUACAUUCUUACUUAUUAAAUUCUCGGAGAGCUUAUAAUUUUGAUUUAUUCAAGAUAGAGUGUUUUACGAUUAAGUUUAACUCUUAGGCGAAAGUGGAAACUGAAAGAACACCGCUCUAGAUACUUUGGUAUAGGAUGAUCAGUAGUUGGGCACGUAGACGUACCAGAUCGAUUUAAUUAUCGGUGUAAAUGUGUAAGUUAUAGAAAAGAAAGAACAUUUAGAAAUUUGAUCAAUCUUAUACUCUUGACAUACUUAUGUAUAUUCUUUAUAAUGAUCAAGCGUGUACAUUAACAACCGCGAUACUAAUGAUCCUGGUUUUCCAUCGAUAUAAAGCUAUCAAUUUAACAGAUAUUUAGACAACAAUAUUUAAACUUUACAGUAAAAGACGUAAUUGAUGUGUUGAGUAUUAAUAACAAAUCCUGUGUUAGCAUUUAGAAUUCAAAUCUUCAUCUGCAUUAUACGAAUAAAUUAACCUAGUGAGUACUAUCAACCAUUCUGAUAAACACCAAGGCCACCUUUUAAUGACUCUUAUAUGUGGUAGUUAAAGAUCAUAAAUCUUAUGUAUAUCGUAGAAAUGAUGGUACGUAUACCUCAAUAAUAGAUUUUAUUCUGAGAAUUUAUGACACACUCUUACUCAGAUCGAUAGGUUACUAUCUUAUACUCGUUUUAUAAUGGAGGGUAGUUAUAAUUAACAGUCACUAAGAUAUGUUACAACAUGAUUUAGUCGCUGUUAUUUAUACCAAAAGUUCAAGCUUUAUUCAAGACGGGAGGAUAGUGUUUGUAUUAGUGUGCAUUGCCUUUCUGUUCUUUGUUAAGUAGCGAAUCUUCUUACUUCCUCCUUUUCGUGAUGGAUACUUCAUAGUUUGCAAACACUACUGUGUUAGGAGUAGUAUAAACAAGAGCACGAGAAUCAUUCUCUCUAUUUUCCCUCAUGAGAUGUUAUCUUCAGUUUAUCAUCUUGUUGUUUCUAUAUGUAAGUUCAUUAAGGUGUUUUUACCAGUUUUACAAAUUGGACCGUUACGAACGAUUGAGUUCUUGGAUAUUUAUGUAAUAGUUAGUCCAGUUAUAAACCGUUUAAAAGGUUAGCUUGUACAUUUCGUGUUUAUAUAUUUUAACUAUUAGCUUAACUUGGAGGCUAGCUUCAUAGGUUAAUAAAAGAUCAACUGUCAGAAGAUAGGCGUUCUCAAUACCUCUCACGUUAUUAACCGUACAUCUUGUUAAUCUUGUAUACUUUAUAUUCUAUAAAGUGUUACCAUAGUACCGAGUGAAUAUGGAAGUCAAUUUAGAAAAGGUCUAUCUCGUGACUCUAGGAAAAGGAACAAACUAAGUCUUGGUAGUAAAACUAGGCAACCCUAGGUACCGGUUGGGUUAUACUUUUAUAUAUCUUGAUGAUGAUACCGCAAUAUCCUCGUAGGAAACAAAGUAGAUUUAUCUCGUAUUAGAUAACACACGUGACACAACAAUGCAGGGGAAUUAAUAGAGGUAAGUCCAGAAGUAUAUAGAUGUCUUUGUACUGAAUAAUAUAAUCAGUUUGACUCUUGGGUACAAUAUAAAUUUUCGUUUCUACGUAAAAUACACACUCUCAGUAACAAAACACAGAUAAGUUAAUAGGUUAAGUUAUUAUUGUUGUGUAUUUCUUCAAAAAGGUUUGACUUUCCUGUUAUUUCUUAUCUUGAUGUGUACCCCUAAAACUGGCUUUAUGUUUUAUCCUCUUCUAUACUAUUUAUUGUGUUAGAACUUAAAAUAAAUACAUUAGAUCUUAAUGAUUUAUGUUUUAGAAUAAGCGACCCUUUUAAUGUGAGUAUUAACUAAUGGAAGUUUAGAUUACAUAUGUUACUCUUAUUUUUUUGUAUUACAAUUGCGGGUGUGCACACCAUGCUUCGUUGUACCGGGUUUGCGGAAGUAAUAGUAGGUAAAACGGUGUAGUUUUGUCUACUGUAGCCGCCCUUAGAAAAACCAAAAGCCGAAUUUUUACAAAUAGAGGAUUAAUUUUUAGGUUAAUUUUUAAGUAAAAGUGGUAAUUUAGGUAGAGCUGUUCAAGAAGUUUUGAUCUAGGUUACAGCUAUACAAACCUACGUAAAAAAACGAUUUUAAACAGUACUACAAAUGUGUCAUCAACGAUAUCACAAAUGUGAUUUCAACGGUACUGUACAAAAUAGAAAAAAAAAGAUCUAAAUUUCGGUGGUAACAUAAAAGUUGAUGAAAAAUAUCGUUAAAAAAUAAUUAAAUGGUACGGUUAGAAAUCAUUCAUUGGUGCCGUUUGCAUUACGUACCUAGUACCGUUAAAAAUCAUUAGGUAGUACCGUUUAAAUCAAGUAUUUAGUACCGUUAAAUUCAUCAAACUGAUACAGUUAAGGUCAUGAAACCGGUACCUUUAAUAAAAAACAUACUUGGUACCGUUUACAUUCACGUACAUAGUAUCUUUUAAAUACAUUAAGUGGUACCAUAAAAAUCAAAUACCAAGUAUUGUUCAGAUCAAAGAGUGAAGGGGUAAAAUAUUAUACAGUUUUAAAUGUAAAUUUCCAUCUUCUUUUGUAUCGACUUUGUAUAGUACCGUUGAAAUCACAUUUGUGGUACCGUUAAGUACACGUUAUCUGUACUGUUUAAAAUCGGUUUUUGUUUCAGCAGCUUUGUAUAACUAUACUCAAGAUCAAAGCUUCUAGAGCAACGCUACCUGAAUUACCACUUUUACCUAGAAAUUAGCCUAAAAAAAUAAACUCUCUAUUUUGUAAGAUUUUUGAUCUUUAGGUUUUCCUAAAGGCGUACGUACGUACGCCAUUGCACCGUGUUAGACACAAAAUAUUCCGCACACCCGUUCACAACGAGGGUGGUAUGCACACCCGCAAUAGUCGCAGGUUUCUUUUACUCUUGAAGAAUGUAUGUAGUAUUCUAAUAACCAUUAGAGUCGCGUACGUUGAAAUGUAUCACAUGUGUUGUUACUUCGUAGCUUAAUAAGUCAUUAGAUUUCUAUAUUCCUUGUAUUUUCUGUCUGUAUUAUACGAUUCAAGAGCCGCCAAUGUAAAAAUGGGUCCUAGGGUGUAUUGACCCUCGUCCGAACUCUUUACUAUUCAUUUUUCGUAGUUAUUAGUAAAGUCAUUAUUUUUUGGCCAAUGAGAAUGUGUGGAACAUAUCGUAAGGUCAGGUAGUAAAAAUGGAAGCCUGAUGUGAGGGUAUACACUGGUUAACCUCUUUCAUAUACAUUCAAAUCGAUUUACUUUUUUUAAUUCUAUUCCUUCGACUUAAAUACAUGCAGUGUUUCCCGCAUUAUUAACUCAAUGUGACAUUUGACUUUCGAAUGGUGCCGAAAAUCGACCUUGGUAAUUCGACAUAUACUUAUAGUUCCUGCAUCCCGUUUACCUAUCAUAAUUCUGCUGAUACUUGGGUUCUUAAGUUAUAAUUCUACCUGUGUUUGUUAAUUUGUAUGUAUUAUAGUAGAUAUCCGGAAUCGAAUUACGAUCCACUAUGAAAGCCGUUUGAAAGAUAGAUAGUGGCGGAGAGACGUCAAGAACAUGAUAAACGAUGAGGGAGGCAGGGUUUUAUUCACAGAGUUGAAAUAUGAUUGAGAUUAUGUUUCAACGUGAUUCGAACUCUGUGAAUAAAACCCUGUCUCUCUCAUAUUACGAACCGUGCGCCAGUCAUUAGGACACCUACACGUGGGUAGGCGGGAUUAGAAGUCCAGCUUGUGAUAGGAAAUGAGAAGGAACUACACUUGAAGAAGGAGUACUUUUGUGGUUCCUUUGUUAGUGUAUCGGUAUAACGAAUACGUGUUUAAAAGGUUUUCUAUACCUCCGUUAGAACCACGCCAGAUAAAACUCAUAUAAAUGUACAAGACGGGCUUCCCAAAGUUGACGGGUUUCUCCUUAGGCACAUAUACAUCCGCCGCCCUCCUAGACGUAAUCCUGAAGAAACGACUACCCUCCUCCCACUCUCCUUACCACACUCCUCAAGCGGUAUCAAAUACUUGUUUGUUACGAAGGUACAGACGUAGUUUGACAACGUAUAUAUGGAAGUUACGACGUAGACGGUUAGCACCUUGAAUAGGAUGUUUUUCUACGAUGAAAAGAUUGGACCAGCCUUGACUCCUACCCCUUUAAAUCUCUAACCUUUCCUUCCCUAACCCUCUUCCAUCUAAAGCCAACUUUUUAACGUCACGGCUACCUUAAAUCUCCAACUAAUCCAACUUGAUCCCCUAGGAUGUUCCGACCAGUACUACUUGCCAUCAUCCCAAACGUGCUACUACGCUCCACUCUUUCCGGUUGACUUAGACGCUCUGCAAGGAAAAUUCUGUACCUCAACAUCUCUCUAACUCAAUCUAAAUAAAAUGAAGAUAAAAAUAUAGUGACUCUAUCAUCAUAACCGUAAACCUCGUAAAAACCCUACUAAAUCCAACUAGAUGUGGCAUUAUUACACCUUGGUAGUUUACUCGUCCGUAUUAAAGUCUAUACACUCUUAAAGUCCUUCAGAGAUUAAUCAUAUCCAUAUCUAUCUAUAUAUAUCUAUGUGCAGCUGAAUGAAAAUAUUGAAAAACGGAAAGGUCUAAUGACCUUGAAAGAACUGUCCAAUAAACGGUCAAUCAAUUGUAUAGAGUAUAUAUCAUAUAUACAUUUAUCAACUAAGGUUGGUAUAGUUAACAGAUUUGUACGGGUGUACGGCGGAGUGGUGUGUACGGUGUAGUAGUAGAUUGAUUAAUAAAGAGAAUUGUAUAUACCUUUUACAAUAAAUAUAAGAGAGUUGUUCGUGUGUGGGGUUGAGAGGUGUGUACGGUGGAGGAUUUAGUGUGAUUAAUAUAGAGUGUUGUACGUAGGCUUUAUAAUGGGUAUAAGACAUAUAUAUAAGUGUUGAUAUAUUAUUAUUUUUUGUUACAUAGUAUAGAUAGACUUCAAAGUAAAUUUAAAGUAGUUUUUUAUAACGUUGGUUAGAGUCGUCAUACCACGUCCCAUGGUAGAUCAAUAUAAUUGAACCAAUGGUCCAAUGAUUUUCAAUUACAUGUGAUGACGUUCUGAACGAAGUACCAUGAAGAGACCCAGGUUAAAAAACAACAACAAAUGUAAAAUUAUGAGUAAAUCAAUACAGCUGAACAAACCCAGCUGAAUAGUUAAAUUAUAUAAAAAUGUUAUAAAGAACGUAUAUGUUACCACUAGGCAAAACACUAAAAGGGAAGUUUUAGUCAGCCGCGAGUAAAUAGGUGGUAACAUACUAAUAAAAAAGACGAGGCCGUUGGCGUCAAUUUGGUUCUGUUACCGUCUGUAUCGGUCGAGUAGUCCACCUGGAGUUGUUGUCGGUCUCGGUGUUUACCUACUCCUAGAGGACUUUCGUCGGUGUACACCGCUCAACUCGAUAUACCUUCCGAUACGAGGACCGUCUGAAGCACCUUAUUGAGGUCGUCCCUUAUGUACGGAGGUAUAUAGGACGUAAGUACCGGUGUACCUUAAGACGUCAACACAUGACCUUGAUCGAUCUGGGUAGAGAGGAGAGUUUCCAAUUAUUGCUCCCACUCUGUGGUGAACAGUAACGGCACCGUGUGCCAGUACGGUUGAACCAAAUAGAAAAUGAGCGUGCGACGUUUCUUGAUCCUAACUUGUUGUAUUAGAACGUGUUUCUGUAGCUUUUUACAUUACGUGACGUGGUACGGUAGUCGUUACCCGUGUCCCUAGAACGCGAUUGCAACCGUCGUUGUCUAGGACGAGAGCGCGUCCGACACUUGUUUACGCUACUCAGUGGGUACAAGUAGCGUCGCUACUCUUUGAAAUGUCUACAAAAACCUUCUGAUAACCUUUUGAGAACCAGAAGACUACGUCCCUCAAAAGCUGCGGUACGAGAGGUACGACGUCGAUAGUUACCCUUAGUUCUUUAGCGACGUUCUUAAUACACACAUGCAGGAGUGGACCGUUUUCUUCGGCUACACUUACUCCUAUGGGGUUAUUCUGACCGACAGACAAUAUUAUUCCAACCGCACGAUGUUCAUGAAGACUUCGUACUAUAAAGUAAUCCCAUACUUCAUUCGUUGGUUCCAAAUUGAGAGGAACGAUCACGACGUUGAGCUCCGUUACAACUACAACGCGCUCUCGAAGAAUGGAUAACAGGGCUACGAGGAAUAGCGGUGCACGCGGUAUUCCUUAACUGUACGGAAGUAUGUCGACAUACAUUGCCAGUAGGCCUCAAACAACUUAAAUAUGAGUCCUGUGGUGUUGAGGCCUUUGAGUAAUUGUACGCUCUGUCGUCACCUUCUUGUCGAGAUGUGAUACGUUAGCUCUUCACGUUAGGUUUUUGACAACGACGACAUGACCGAGUGCUCCCAUAUCUGUGUUGUUAUGCACUGGAAUUACCAUUUAGUCGUCGAAGGGUUAACCGUACGUUGUGGCUGGUACUGUUCUCAAAUCUGACCUACCUUCACGUGCGUGAAUACAACGUUCGAUUAGGGGUUCUACUACUGUAUACAAGAAUAGAGAAGUACUCCCUUAGCUCGUUUUACUUUGAUAACUUAGCUUCCUACUCUGUGUAUGUUCACGGUGCCGAUUGCACUUCAGUGAUUGAGUUUUUAUGUGUUCGUUGUGUAGUGAUCACCGGUAGGAGGAACGUUGUUAGUGGAAGUGGCGUCGAAAGUGAGACGGUCCUCCUAUGUCGUCAUGACGACCUUCGCUCCCCGAAGGAUAGUACAUGUUUUUAUGACGUAAAGUUCAUAAGGACCAGAGACUGUGCAAUCGUUACACGAGACGUAAACAACACCGUAAAUAUACGGAGUACCCUUCCACCCUCCUACUAUCCAAGUGCCUAAUAAUGUAGUGGCAGUGAUUCUUCGAAUGAACCAAACGUAUGUACCGUUGUGAACGCCGGAAGCGUCGACCAAAUAUGUGCCAUGAUCGGGUAGUAGCGGUCACCGACCGGUAACGCUAAACACGAGACUAUCCCAAAACGGGAACAGAUUGAAACGAGUAUUCAUUUACCGGAUAGAAUUUCGAGUUAAUAGCCUAGGCCUAAGUAGUUCGAAACACACGGACGUAUCAUCUGGGAAAACCGGCCCACGCAGUUACAAAGUCUAGGUUAGCCACCGGACCGUUCAAAUCCCAAGAAGUUGCAAGGUGGGGCCUCAGGCUCGAAGUACGGCACUGUCAGACUGGGACAGUUUACCGAAAUGCCAAGUCGAAACACUACCACAACAAAGAGUUAAAUACAACAUUGCUCGGAACGAACAGAUGAGAAUAACAUAACAUUAAGCAGUCUGUUUUUGAUAACUUUACCACUAAACACAUAGGGUUAGUUUUAGACUACGUCAACACGA